Molecule: unclassified non-coding RNA, 391 nt
Filed under: soil metagenome
Description: partial contains 5.8S ribosomal RNA, internal transcribed spacer 2, and large subunit ribosomal RNA
Rfam family: 5.8S ribosomal RNA (bases 1-122)
Source: RNAcentral
GAUGAAGAACGUAGCGAAAUGCGAUACUUGGUGUGAAUUGCAGAAUCCCGUGAACCAUCGAGUCUUUGAACGCAAGUUGCGCCCGAAGCCAUUAGGCCGAGGGCACGCCUGCCUGGGCGUCACACGUCGUUGCCCCCCCAUCUACUCCUUCGGGAUUGCGGGGGGCGGAUGAUGGCCUCCCGUGCGCCUCGUCGCGCGGUUGGCAUAAAUGCCAAGUCCUCGGCGACGCACGCCACGACAAUCGGUGGUUGCGAAACCUCGGUUGCCCGUCGUGUGCGGUCGUCGCGCAUCGAGGGCUCGAAAAAAUUGUCGGGCUCCGGCUCGGCUUUCAAUGCGACCCCAGGUCAGGCGGGGUUACCCGCUGAAUUUAAGCAUAUCAAUAAGCGGAGGA